Haliotis rufescens (red abalone) is the source of this 1122-nucleotide long non-coding RNA. RefSeq lists it as uncharacterized. The transcript has 3 exons. NCBI's taxonomy places the organism in Eukaryota, Metazoa, Mollusca, Gastropoda, Lepetellida, Haliotidae. The record is from RefSeq and is a predicted model, not a curated record.
UGAUAUAUCUCCGGAUAGAGUGCACGAACAAGCAGUCUGGGUGUGCUGGGUGUCAAGUGGGUAUAGACAACAGCGUUAGGAGCACAAGUGACCGGGUGUACACCCAUUGAGCUCUCAAUUCCAAUUGGCUGAAGGCCUGGUGACAUCAUCCAAUUUAUCAACAACAGUUUCUUACGACUGAGGUGAGCUGUUGAGAGCGACACUCCAUUGUUGGUGCGUGGGACCGGUUGUAUGUUCAACCAAACCAAGAUGUGAGGAUCGAACCUGGACUCCAGUAAUACAGACAAGUAGGACCCUCUCCGAUUAACACAGACUUAUAACCGUCACAGCUUAUGCCGCUUUGAGUUUGGUUCCCGUGGCACGGCAUGGCGGAGAGACGGGGUGGAGGGUUGUGUCUGGUCCUGCAGGGAAAGAACGCCGUGUGAUUCAUGGAUGGGGCUCGCAGAACGAACUGUGUCCCUACUGUCAUAUUUGGGAAUUUCUACAGAGCUGGUUAAUCGAGUCAGUUUGUGUACAAGUGAUCAUUGUGACUGAAAGAUAUCUGUGGGAACGGUUUCCCUCAGCAUACAUUCCGAAACUUGAGUAGUUGAGGUGUUAAAAAAGAAAUGGUAGUUUGUCGGGGAAAUACUUUAAGCAUAAAUCGGUGUCUGUCCGUCACUCGUAAGCCUUAUAUACUUCUCUGGAUAAAUUAGAACACCGAUUCUUUCAUAUUGCUAUAGUAAAUCUGUCAUGCCAGAUAACGAAAGAAAUAUGAAAGAAUCGGGUGUUCUUUAACUUAUUUUGAGUAGCAUAUUUGCUCAUAUUCUUCUUCUUCAGUGUUGAGGGAAAUUGUUUCAAAUUAAAAUUAUUAUAUUUUUGCAAAGUGCUGUCCCAUCAGUCGUCACAUUUGCUUAUUAAUACUACAUGUACUAUGGGCCUGUGGUCUUUAAGUCGUUGGAUAAAGAUGGAUUGAUUGAUAAUCAGUACAAAGGGUUAGAAACACUGUAUCCCAUAACAAUGAUAAUACUGAAGCAAUGUGGCAUUUUACUGUUAUAUUAUAUGUAUUUAUAUUAAAUAAAACAUAUCCUGAUCAACUUUUGGUAAUAAUAUUAGCAAUACUUCUCACUGUUUAAAGCCUGUAUA